RNAcentral lists this ribosomal RNA (564 nucleotides) under uncultured fungus. RNAcentral's name for it is "eukaryotic LSU rRNA". The stretch from base 190 to 343 matches the Rfam family "5.8S ribosomal RNA". The record is from RNAcentral. Lineage: Eukaryota; Fungi.
CAUUAUUGAAUUCAUUGAAAGGGUUGUAGCUGUCCUCUUUCCAAAAGAGGUAUGUGCACACCUUGCCAUUCUUUACACCUGUGCACAUCUGUAGCUGAAGGACGAUUUUUACGCCCUUUGCUAUGUUCACAUAAUAAAUCUAUCAAUUUGGAAUGUUUGUGUAGCGUGUAACAGCGCGAAAUGCAAUACAACUUUCAGCAACGGAUCUCUUGGCUCUCGCAUCGAUGAAGAACGCAGCGAAAUGCGAUAAGUAAUGUGAAUUGCAGAAUUCAGUGAAUCAUCGAAUCUUUGAACGCACCUUGCGCUCCUUGGUAUUCCGAGGAGCAUGCCUGUUUGAGUGUCAUGAAAUUCUCAACUGUGCUUUGUUUUUUUCAAAGUGAAGUUGGAUUUGGUGUUAUUGUCGGCGUUGUUCGACUGCUCCUAAAAGCAUUUAAAAAAGCCUGCUCUUUUGUUGACGUGAUAAUUGGUCUACGUUGAAAAAGGGGAGUAGUGCUUGCUUUAUUAUGUGUACAAUUUGACCUCAAAUCAGGCAGGACUACCCGCUGAACUUAAGCAUAUCAAUAA